Molecule: long non-coding RNA, 6025 nt
Organism: Equus caballus (horse)
Lineage: Eukaryota; Metazoa; Chordata; Mammalia; Perissodactyla; Equidae
Source: Ensembl
CCUCUGUGGCUCCCUCUGAGCCCACUGUGGGAUGCACCUCGCUCCUGAGAAGGCGCUGAGCUGAGAGGAAGCCGCUGUGCUUUCUGAGGCUCAUCUUUAGGAAACAUUUCUUGUCAGUUAGUCUUGCCAGAAUUCAAGAAGGUUAAGGGAGAAUAAAGGAUGGUCCAAAAAAGAACAAGGAAAAUGAAAAUUUGAAAAAGGGAGCCAUUCCUGAGAGGUUAUUUCACCUGCAGCAGAGUGACCGAGGAAGGAGUGCCUAGCUACCUUUAUGCCUGUGGAGGGAAGAGGUGCCUGGGCUGAUUUUUUUCCACCUUGGCAGAAGUGACUGGAGGCGGAGGAACAGGGAUCUUCAAUACGUACUCCCAUUCUGGGGCUGCUUCUGCUCUAAAAACAGAGCCAAGCAGUUCAGGAAAUCUGCCGAGAAGGCCACCAAGCAAAAUCCUAAGAGCAGCUGGUCUGGAGCCAGGCAGGUUGUGCUACAGUUGCAUGUCACUGUUGACUUCAGAAGAUGCUGCUGCUCUAGGAAGCAUAGAAGAGGUGAAUGCUGAGGGGAGAGAUGUCAAAGCAUGGGGAGAAAUGGAAAUCAGGAGACCAACUUACAAGCAAUUGACACUGGUCAAGUGAGAAGUUAGCGACAUGAAGUCGGCGGUGGCAGUAGCAAUGGAAAAGAGGAAGCAGGAUGAAAAACAAUGAGGAGAUGGACUCUUAAGGGCUUGCUAGGUGGAUGUGGGAGCCAAACGAAAAGUGAGGAACAAUCACAAUUUCCUGAUUUGGAGUGCUGGCAAAGAAAAAUGAUGGUUCUAUUAACAGAGUUAGAGGAAUCAGCAAGAUGACAGUUUGCUUGGAAUUCAGUGAAUCUAAGGCACAUACAAGUCCUCAUUUGAGGAGAAAAAAGGAGGAAGAGGUAUUGUGUUCGUUAGAUGCUGGGACAUGUAAGGCUAAGAUACAAGAGAUAGUCUUCCUUCAUGGCUUUGCUCAGGUUUCUGAAAUCAUAAAGAUUACAGGGCCCUGGGAAGUGAUAAAUGCUAUUGGAGAAUAUGUUUUGGACUAGCAGUCACAGAAUUAGAGACCAGUUCUUGCCUUUGGAAAGGAUGUUUCAGGCUAGAGGGGAUGGUGUGGAUUAGUGUUCUUUCCAGUAGAAGCUCCACCUGUCAUCUGUCCAUCCAUUCAGCCAUCCAUCCAUCCCACUAUCCGUUACUUCUUGAGCAUCUCCUAUUUUUUAACUCUGCACUUCUAAAGAGUCAAAGAACAAAGAUCAGCUUCAUCCCUGGAUUAGCAGAAUACAGCCAGUAAAUCACUAAAUCUCCACAUAGAAUAUUUGGCAUUAACUCCUCAGUCCCUUCCCUUGUGUAACUGGUCAGAGGUGCUGAGGGGUCUUCUUGCAGACCAAUGAUUGGUUAACACGUUCUUUUCAGCUAAAUGACAAACAGUUUAAUUCCAAUAGAAUGCCUAAAAGUCCUUCUCAGAACUGACAUUGGGAUUAUCUACAUUUUAUAUUAUUCAUUGCAAAUUUAAAUUUCUUAUCAGUUUCUGGAAUGCUCGAGCCCUCUCAACAUCUGUUCUUCACAGUGUCCACAUUUUAUGCUCAGAGAAUGCAAAUUACCUUUAAUAUUAGCUUUGCCUACAAAUAAAGACGGAUCUGCUUUCAGAGUACCUCCAGUGCACUGCGACGUGUUCACCAUCUUCUCUGACCUGUCCCUGCCCUUUAAUAAGAAUUCUCGAGUUGAUUGAGCUUUCAUACUUUGGACAGUAUCAGCCUGGUGAGACGGCUUGGUGGAUUUCCCAGCUUGCACCUCUCCAAAGAGAAGAUGUCAUUUGCUAUCUCAGUCUCCAGAUGUCCAAAACUUACUUUUGUUGGUCACUAAGAGCAAAAUUGUCAAACAGGUGACAGUUUUGCUGGUGGGGUCAAUCUCCAUUUAAAUCCCAUGGCUACUGCACAGUGGAGGAAAGAAGAAUUAUUGGGGAUUCAGCUGUAAUUUCUACUACAGUAAGACUUUAAACAUUUUCAGUAUUCAAUCAAUCAGCAUGUUUUGAGUGCCUUCUACAAGCAAUGAACCCUACUAGAUUUUGGCAAUCGACUAUAAAAUUCCUGGUCUUGACCUUUACGACUACUGUGAUGACAAAGCAAUGAUUGAAAGCUUAGAGCAACGGGCUGAUUCUGUCCUUCAGAGGUGAGUGUGGAGGGAGCUCGUUAGAAGAAUUAUAGUAGGUACCUAGAAUUUGAACAAUUCAAAUGAAGAAGUUUCAAAGCACCUAAGCAGGAACCUCUUAUUUGCAUUAAAAAAGGUAGGAGUAACUGAGAAGUUUCUUUCCUCCCCCCUCCCAUGUCUAUGUUUGAUGACAGUUGUUUGGAGGAAAUCAUGUCCACUAGACCCAGUGAGCUGUGGUACAACUCCAGUUAAUAUUUGACUAUUGGCUUCCUGUUACACAGAAAACUAAUAGUGAAGAAUAAACCACAAUGUAAGUUAAGUCUCUUCUCCUUUUCUCCCUCCCUUUUGGUGUCUCCACCCCUUUAAAGAGAUGCCUUUCUGUUUAGAGGAUGUGUUCUCUGUUCAUCCCAACUGGAGAAAGUGGGGAGAAUCCUUUGAUGAUAUUUGAACUCUCUUGUCUACUUUCCAAAGUGGUUGAAGGAAGUUCCAGUGACCAAGUCUUCCAAAGAUUCUGCCUCAUUUCAUGGCUUCUUGAGCAGAUAUCCGGCUGCCCGUCUUAGAGGUGAUCCACAUUUGUAGGUGAAGUAGAAGAGAGAAGAUGAAAAGAAAAUUGAAAAGAAAAUAGAGCUUUGGUGUGUGGUGUCAACAUGUGUCAAAAUGACAUAACUCCCCACGGAGAGAAAAGAAACUUCUAGUCCCAAGGACAAAACCCACCUGUUUUACUUAAUCCUCAAUUCCCCGUCUCACCACGUUCCCCCUCCAACCCUUGACAGAUUGAAGGAUCUUGUUGGCUCCGAUUGAUUCCCUGAACACCUGUGUCCACCAGACUGUCCUUUAUGGAUAUUUCCUGAUCUCUUGGCUUCGGCUGGCUUGUGUCUCCAUGGUAACAGGGAGUGGGGAGGGGGACGUGGGGGCAGCUCAGUCCAUUUGUCAUCAAUUGCCACUGUUUUGUUCUGCUUGGUGUGUGCUCUCAAUUGAGUCCUGGAGGAGGCAAAGCAGAACAGAGAGAUUCGGCUGAAGGACUGCUCCCGCCCUCUGAAACCGGGGGUGGGGGGAUGUAGCCGAGGGGACUGUCUUCAGAGAGGGAGAGAGCCCGGGUAUAGAGAUUAUAACCAAAUGCCAACCUUCUCUGGGAGAAUAAUUUUUCUGUGACUCAGAUUUUAUGUUUUAGGAGGGAGGAUGGCAUUCGUGUCCAUCCAAAGACCUUUAUUAUUUUGUUAAAGUAAGAGGAAGGAAAUUUUGCAACCUCCCCAUAAUAUAGAAUAAGAUGUCGUCUUUCUUAUUCUGGGUUGGAAUUUUUACUUAAAAAAAAAGUGAUUGGACUCCCACCGUGUCACUGCCUUAAACAGACCACGAGUUGUGCAUCUUGUUUCAUUUUGUGCCUUCUCUGUGUGCUGUGCAUUCAUUUAGAUGAUUCACAAAAGCCUGUCCCCUGUGCCUCCCCCGAUCAGGAUUAAAGAGCUCAAGCCCUGCCAGUUGGGUGGAAGCAUUGCUGGUUGGACCCAGCCUAUGAAUGCCCUUCUUCCCACUGAUCUGGGCCCGAGGAACUCUUUGUUUUGUUCCACUCCGAUCUUUGCCCUUAGCAGAGGCUCAGACCCAGUUCCUCCCAGACUCGUGAUGACUUGGAUGAUGUCCUCUCUCUCAUUCCAUGAGGAACUCACCAGUGUGAUCAAAUUCAAUGGCCCCUUCUCCAUCUGUUUACUAUUUGGCCUCUCUGCAUCAUUUACAACAUGUUAUCACUCCUCCUCUGCAACUUCUCUUCUUGGGCUCCCGUCACACAGAAUGCUCUGUGUUCUUUCUUCCUCUCUCUUGGUGCUUCUUGAUCAUCCUUCUUGGGUCUUUUGUUUCCUUCCACAAUUUCAAAGUUGGUAUUGUCCAAGGCUCUGUUCUUGGCCUGCUUUUCAUACUCCUCCUCACUCCUUGCAAUGUCAUCCACACCUAUAGCCUUAACCAUGAACUCUGAGGCUGACUCUCAAACCUGCCUCUAAACCAGGUCGCGCUUCUGAGCAACUCUGCAUGGAAAUGUACAAACUAUUCAAAACGAAUUUGACUUUCUCUUCAACUUGCCCUCCAUUUUCUCUGGUAUUGUUAGCAUCUGCGUUCUCCCAGUUGCUCAGACUUAAAAGCUUUGUAUCAUCUUUGAUUAUGCCUACAUAUGCCACAACUCUCAUCAGUCUUAUUUUCCUCCUCUGCCACUUUCUCCUCCUCCUUCUUCUCUGCGUGCCCCCCCCCCCCCCCCCCCCCCCCCCCCCCCCCCCCCCCCCCCCCCCCUCCCUCUCCCAUUGACGCAGCCCAUUUCAGUAUCCCAUUUCACUUAUGCUGUUCUACUUUCUUUCCCUUACAAUUUGUCCUUCCUGCUGCUUUUGCCAGUUCUGGCCCAGUCAGUCUCUGCUCAAAACCUUAGUACCUCUCUAACCCCUAGAAAUCAAAGACCGAUCGUUACUUAAUUUCACAUGAGCUCCCCUUGGACAUGGCUUGCAUGCCGGCUUUCCAGGCAUAUUCUCCUCCUAGCAUGUUCCUUGACUAAGCCUUCUGACUCCUGAACACUGCUGUUGGGACUGUAAAAAGGCACGCUGUUUGGCAAAAUACAUUGAAAACCUCGAAGGUGUGGCUUGAUCAAGUUAUUCUACUUCCAGGAAUUUAUCCUAAGGAAAUAAUCAGACAGCUGCACAAAGACACGUGCAUAAGAAGUGUCAUUACCGCAUAAUUUGCAAUUAUAAAAAAAUGAAAACAGUAUCAGCGUCCAAUAAUAUCAGUACAAUGGCAUAGUAGGCAAUCAUUAAAAAAAUAAUAUAGACUAAUUUACUGACAUGGAAAGAUAUUCCAGCAUUUCUCUAUGUAUCUAAGUAAAAAAGUUAUGGAGUGAAGUUAAUUAUAUAAUUAAUAUAAUUGAUAUAUAUUAAUAUGUGGUCUUUAUAUAUAAUAUAUAUGCAAGAAGGAAUAGGACAACUCUCAAAGGAUGUACAUGUACAUACUAUGUAUGUGCAUACACACAGUGACUGGAAUUAUAGUUAAUGGUUUAUUUCUUUCAUUUUUCUUAUCAGUAUUUAAAAAAUUUUCUACAACGAGCAUGGAUUAACUCCAUAAAGUAAUAAUAGUUAAAGUUACAAUGUGCUGAGGUAAAGCAAUUUCUUAAAAAAUUCUUAAAAGAAAAAUGUCCUCCACCCUUUCGUUGCCUUGCCUUUGUUAAUCUUAUCAUUGUGCCUAUAAGUUUUCAUCUCCUCAUGUUGCAGUAAAGUAUUAUCCAUUUCCAAAACAAUUGAACUCCCCCUGCAAGGGAGGAACAAAGGAUCUGAGGUCAGAGGUCUAAGGUUUACGUCCUCAUUCUGCACUCUACUAAGCCAAGUUUCUUCCUCUGUGAAGGAGAAAAAGGUCAUAAUAUCUAAUUCACAGACGUGGCAUGAGGAUCAGACAAUGUAUAGGAAAAGCAUUUAGAGAAUCGCACAGCAUCCCACAGCGGUCAGGGAGUGUGAUUUCUUAUUACCAAAACCAUGCGGUCUGACUACGUGGACUAGAUUGCCGCAUGAGGAUUGGAGCCUUUUCAGCCUCAGCCUCGAGCCCAGUGUGGACACAACCCAGCUGCACACCAGCUUGCGCCCUGGGCCGGGCAAUCGGCCAUGCGGGUGAAGGGGGGUGUGAGGCCUCCCCACACCCCCAGCACUUCCCUUCCCUUCCAGCGUUUCCAAAGCAAGACUUAACUCUAGGAGUCUUGGAGAAAACACUGUGUCCGGGGCCAAUCUGUCUGGUACCCACAUGGGGACUUCAGAGCCACCUUGCUGUCUCCCUGACCUCUUCCAGUCCCCUGCUCCGGAUCUGAGGAGUUGACCGGUCCCCAGGACCUGGGGGCAUUCCGUGCUGUUGGCUGUGUAGACGAC